Molecule: long non-coding RNA, 755 nt
Organism: Papaver somniferum (opium poppy)
Lineage: Eukaryota; Viridiplantae; Streptophyta; Magnoliopsida; Ranunculales; Papaveraceae
Exons: 3
Source: RefSeq, a predicted model, not a curated record
GACCUUUCUCAGAAAAAGAAGAGAAUGACACCCGACUCUUCUAUUUUUAACUUGUUUUGGUAUUCUCUUACUAUUUUUGUCUUCCCCUUUUCUUUCUCAUAAUCCCUAGUUCUGAUAUAUUAUUCUUACUCAGCCUUUUUCACUCACUUGAUUAUUAAGCUAGAGUUUGCGGUAGCAAUCUCAAUUGGUUUCAGCACAGAAGAGUUAAUGAGAAUCCCUGCUGGUAGAAGAAGGAAGUACCAUGAUGACGUGACCGUGAUUGUAGUCAUACUUGGUAGCAAUCUGCGCACGUCAAAGGCCUCAACUGUUCUAUAGAAUAACAGGGUUAAUACAAAAACAAGUUGGGCUACUCCAUGAUCACCUAAAAGGGUCUGUUUUGAUCAUGGAUCUACUAUGAAGAUGAUGACGAUAAAGAAGAUGGCGAUGGGCAUUAACAAGGAUAGGAACACGAGGAAAAAAAAAUUGGUAGACCCGAAGGGGGCCAUUUUUUCUUAAUGGAAUUCAUGAUUUACCUCCCAACAAAUUUCUCUCAGAGAAUGAUACGUUGGUACAUUAUUAUAUAGAGGUUAGGCACAUUUAAAUGCACAAAAAUAAGGUGCUCCUUUUUAACCUGUGUAACACUGCCUUAAAUUUCUUCUCAAGUGCAGAUUCUUUUCUGUUUUGUUUUGUGUUUUUUUUACAAGUUGUAAAUAAAGAGCAAUGUUAUAUAUGUAUGUAGUUUGCAUGAGUACCUAUUGUAAAAAGCUCACCAGUCA